GAUGAACGCUGGCGGCGUGCCUAAUACAUGCAAGUCGAGCGAACAGACGAGGAGCUUGCUCCUCUGACGUUAGCGGCGGACGGGUGAGUAACACGUGGAUAACCUACCUAUCAGACUGGGAUCACUUCGGGAAACCGGAGCUAAUACCGGAUAAUAUAUUGAACCGCAUGGUUCAAUAGUGAAAGACGGUUUUGCUGUCACUUAUAGAUGGAUCCGCGCCGCAUUAGCUAGUUGGUAAGGUAACGGCUUACCAAGGCAACGAUGCGUAGCCGACCUGAGAGGGUGAUCGGCCACACAGGAGCUGAGACACGGUCCAGACUCCUACGGGAGGCAGAAGUAGGGAAGCUUCCGCAAUGGGCGAAAGCCUGACGGAGCAACGCAGCGUGAGUGAUGAAGGUCUUCGGAUCGUAAAACGCUGUUAUUAGGGAAGAACAAAUGUGUAAGUAACUAUGCACGUCUUGACGGUACCUAAGCAGAAAGCCACGGCUAACUACGG
RNAcentral lists this ribosomal RNA (496 nucleotides) under uncultured bacterium. Its description in RNAcentral is "partial 16S ribosomal RNA". It matches the Rfam family "Bacterial small subunit ribosomal RNA", at positions 28 to 506 of the family's 1533-position model. The record is from RNAcentral.